RNAcentral lists this ribosomal RNA (253 nucleotides) under uncultured bacterium. RNAcentral describes it as "partial 16S ribosomal RNA". It matches the Rfam family "Bacterial small subunit ribosomal RNA", at positions 524 to 776 of the family's 1533-position model. The record is from RNAcentral.
UACGUAGGGUGCGAGCGUUAAUCGGAUUUACUGGGCGUAAAGGGCGCGUAGGCGGCGGGUCAAGUCGAGUGUGAAAGCCCCGGGCUCAACCUGGGAAUUGCGCUCGAGACUGGUCUGCUUGAGUUCGGGAGAGGAGCGUGGAAUUCCCAGUGUAGAGGUGAAAUUCGUAGAUAUUGGGAAGAACACCGGUGGCGAAGGCGGCGCUCUGGACCGAGACUGACGCUGAGGCGCGAAAGCGUGGGGAGCAAACAGG